RNAcentral lists this transfer RNA (75 nucleotides) under Puniceicoccales bacterium. Its description in RNAcentral is "tRNA-Asn". It matches the Rfam family "tRNA". From Rfam's summary of the family: Transfer RNA (tRNA) molecules are approximately 80 nucleotides in length. Their secondary structure includes four short double-helical elements and three loops (D, anti-codon, and T loops). Lineage: Bacteria; Pseudomonadati; Verrucomicrobiota; Opitutia; Puniceicoccales. The record is from RNAcentral.
UGCUCGGUAGCUCAGUGGUAGAGCGGUCGGCUGUUAACCGAUUGGUCGCAGGUUCGAGCCCUGCCCGAGCAGCCA